Molecule: RNA transcript, 3083 nt
Organism: Populus nigra (black poplar)
Lineage: Eukaryota; Viridiplantae; Streptophyta; Magnoliopsida; Malpighiales; Salicaceae
Gene name: multiple organellar RNA editing factor 1, mitochondrial-like
Exons: 6
Source: RefSeq, a predicted model, not a curated record
UCCUUUAUCUAACCACUGAAAAGAUACUUCCGAUAUAACCGCAGAAGACGGUGUUUUGUCAUCAUACAGUAAUAUCUCAUGACUCAUGUAUUGUCUAAAGAUGGCAAAGACUCUCCGGCGCGUGUGGAGCACAUGUAACAAUAUUACAAAUUUGUUAAAUAAUAAACGUUUCGAAACACAUUUCCAAAGGCUAGUUACUGAAAACUAGGGAGGAAAAAAAAAAACUAAUAGAGAGAGAGAGAGUCUAGAGCCUCUCAUAAACCCCCUCCAAAAUCCUAGCAUAGCCAUGGCGCAACGACUACUCCGCCUCCGUCGAGCCCUAACCCCUCUCUCUUCAACUCGGCAACGGAGCCCCUCUCUCCCCGCUCCUAUGGCAAUCGCACCACCAGCCGCACAGACGCCCCCAAUCAUUUCUCAAUGGCGGGGAUUCUCGGGAACGAGAGUGUCGAUGACGUCGACGGCUGCAAUAGGAGAGAAACAGUACUGGGCAUACGAGAAUUUAGGCGAAAUCACUGAGAACAAAACUCUGUUCGAAGGCUGCGCUUACAAUUACUGGCUGGUGACUGUUGAUUUCCCCAAAGAAGAACCCAAACCCUCGCCUCGAGAAAUGAUCGCUGCUUAUGAACGCAUCUGUGCCCAGGGACUCAACAGCAGUAUUGAGGAGGCGAAGAAGAGAAUAUAUGCUUGUAGCACAACUACUUUUCAAGGGUUUCAGGUUUUGAUGACGGAACAAGAGUCCGAAAAGUUUAGAGACGUUCCGAGGGUUGUUUUUGUAUUACCAGAUUCUCCCGGAAACAAGGAAUAUGAAGGAGACGAGUAUGAACAUAGAAUGAUCACUCCGGGACCAACCACAGUUCAAUUUCAGAGAGGGGGAGAAAGAUGCCGUCACCAGGGUAGAAUUCCACCUAGAUUUGACCAGCGAGAUAGUCCAAUUCCAAAUAAUCAAAGGCUGCAACCCCAGAAUAGUCAGCAAGGACGAUUGCCAGGAGGUGGUGGUAACUACAGGUCUCAACAAAAUGGUCCACCACAGCAAAAUCAUGGUCCUCCAGGGCUAGGAGGAAGGAUGCCGAUGAACAAUAGGGAUUAUGCCCCUGGAGGAAGGAACAUGUAUCCAGGACAACAAGGAAAUCAUGAUCCCCCAGGACAGCAAGGUUACAACCAUGGACAGCAGCGAAAUCAUUACCCCCCAGGAGGUGGUGGAAAUCAUGACCCCCCAGGACAGCAAGGUUACAACCAUGGACAGCAGCGAAAUCAUCACCCCCAAGGACAAGGUUACAACCAAGGACAGCAGGGAAAUCAUUAUGCCCCAGACCAAAGGAGCUUUCCACAAGGAGAUUGGAGGGAUCAUGGACCUCAUGGGCAAAGAGAUUAUAAGGGAGACAACUGGAAUUAUUCUCCCACCCAUGGUGGAAACUAUGGGCAAGGUGGAAUUCCACCAAGAUUUGACCAGCGAGAAAGUCCAAUUCCAAAUUAUCACGGGCUGCAACCCCAGUAUAGUCAGCAAGGGUGUAUGCAAGGAGGUGGUAGUAACUACGGAUAUCAACAAAAUGGUCCACCACAGCAAAAUCAUGGUCCUCCAGGGCUAGGAGGAAGGAUGCUGAUGAACAAUAGGGAUUAUGCCCCUGGAGGAAGGAACAUGUAUCCAGGACAGCAAGGAAAUCAUGAUCCCCCAGGACAGCAAGGUUACAACGAAGGAGAGCAAGUAGGUGGUAGUAACUACAGGUCUCAACAAAAUGGUCCACCACAGCAAAAUCAUGGUCCUCCAGGGCUAGGAGGAAGGAUGCUGAUGAACAAUAGGGAUUAUGCCCCUGGAGGAAGGAACAUGUAUCCAGGACAGCAAGGAAAUCAUGAUCCUCCAGGACAGCAAGGUUACAACGAAGGAGAGCAAGUAGGUGGUAGUAACUACAGGUCUCAACAAAAUGGUCCACCACAGCAAAAUCAUGGUCCUGCAGGGCGAGGAAGGAUGCCGAUGAACAAUAGGGAUUAUGCCCCUGGGGAAAGGAACACAUAUCCAGGACAGCACGGAAAUCGUGUUCCCCCAGGACAGCAAGGUUACAACCAGGGAGAGCAGAGAAGUCAUUACCCCCCAGGACAGCAAGGGUACAACCCAGAACAGCAGGGAAAUCAUUUUCCCCCAGGGCAAGGUUAUAACCAAGGACGGCAGGGAAAUCAUCACCCCCCAGGACAGCAAGGUUACUUCCAAAGACAGCAGGGAAAUCAGUAUGACCCAGACCAAAGGAGCUUUACACAAGGAGAUUGGAGGGAUCAUGAAUCUCCUGGGCAAAGAGAUUACAGGGGAGAGAACUGGAAUUAUUCUCCCACCUAUGGUGGAAACUAUGGGCAAGGUGGAAAUAGUAGCUAUGGACAACGUAACCCAGGUGAAGGUUAGAGGUCUGCACAAAUGGAGCAGAUGGGCAUGCAAGGAGAGCAAGGGAACUAUGCACCAUUGGGACCACCAGGGUGGUCAAACCAAUGCAGGUGAGGACGAAGAAUGGUUUACUGACCUUGCAUGCAUGCACGCAUGACUUGUAGAUUUGUUGAUCGGAAGAUAGAUUAAAAUGCCAUCUUGUGUAGCUAGGUUAGCCCCUGACUGCUUACAAGUUAGAUUACUGGAAAGUUUUAUCAUCAAGAGUUUAGUGGUUACUAUUCUUCAAUUACCAAUAGAUCUCCUGGGAAACUCUGCGUGCUUGAAAGUGAAGUACACUGAUGAAAUGGAAGAUACUGAGAAGACUGAUGGUUCUCUGAGGUGGAAGUAAGAAUGGACCAGUAAUUCACUUUCAUCUUUCAAUUUGCAUUCUCACGAGACACAUGAAAUGAAUUGUCGAUGACUGGUUUGGUGAAUAGGCUUGCCUUCAUGAGACUAGUAGGAAAGUAGGAAAGCGGUAUUUUUCCCGUCUAUUUAACUGCUUGAGCUUCUUAGCGAGGUUGCUCGGUCAUGGCAUAUCUUCUACCACAAGCGUGCAAUCUGUCAUCUGUGUUUCAACUUUUUCCUGCCUUUUAAUAGAAGUUACUACGCAGGGGUAUAUGUUGUGGAAAGGAUUCCUAGCUAAUUUAUAACAAAGGACGAAAAGGCUUCAACAUUA